Molecule: unclassified non-coding RNA, 552 nt
Filed under: Hevea brasiliensis (rubber tree)
Lineage: Eukaryota; Viridiplantae; Streptophyta; Magnoliopsida; Malpighiales; Euphorbiaceae
Source: RNAcentral
GCCCAACUCCCAAAAAACGAAUUUAAUUCUACAAAAACAAAGACUUUAACAUUGUUGAGUUUGAAUUUUCUAUCUCCUCUGGUGGGGGCUUUACAUACCUNNNNNNNNNNNNNUUACCUUUUGGUGGCGUUUUCUCCUCAUCCUGUGGAGUUUGUCCUUGCUUUGUUGCUUCCUCUUCUCUUUCCGUCGAUUGCGAAGAUUCCUUUCUUUCUCAAAUACACCUUGCCAGACUACCUCUCCUGUUGAUGGCCAUAACCACCUUUUCUUAGGGUGGUCAGAAUCUGCCUCCUCAGCCAAGUCUUCAUCCAUGCUCUUUAGGGUGGCGUACGAGAACCAUUUAACCCACAUUUUGCCUCUCCUGCUCUUCAUUUUGUGCUGCUCUUGCAUCAAGCCAGUCUCAGGGUUUACAUACACCAUCUGCCUUGCACUGUGGUAUGCCCAGACAUUUAUCAGCAGCUCAAGGGCUCGUGAGUAGCAAUGCUUAUCCUUCGAUAAACUCAGAUAACAAUGACCACUCUGAUGGUGCUCCUCAUACAUUUGUGCAUCCAAUGC